AGCACGGGGAGGUAGUGACGAAAAAUAACGAUACGGGACUCAUCCGAGGCCCCGUAAUCGGAAUGAGUACAUUUUAAAACUAUCCCCAAAGAUCAAUUGGAGGGUAAGUCUGGUGCCAGCAGCCGCGGUAAUUCCAGCUCCAAUAGCGUAUAUUAAAGUUGUUGCGGUUAAAAAGCUCGUAGUCGAAUCUGUGUCCCGCGCCGCUGGUUCAUCGCUCGCGGUGUUCAACUGGCGUGUCUCGCGGGACGUCCUGCCGGUGGGCUCGCGUAUUGCUUCGGCGGUGCGUGGCCCAACUCGUUUCCGUCUCGCGCGGUUAUGAAUCCCAUCGCGGUGCUCUUUAUUGAGUGUCGAGGUGGGCCGGCACGUUUACUUUGAACAAAUUAGAGUGCUUAAAGCAGGCCAAUUUUGCCUGAAUAUUGUGUGCAUGGAAUAAUGAAAUAGGACCUCGGUUCUAUUUUGUUGGUUUUCGGAACCCCGAGGUAAUGAUUAAUAGGAACGGAUGGGGGCAUUCGUAUUGCGACGUUAGAGGUGAAAUUCUUGGAUCGUCGCAAGACGGACAGAAGCGAAAGCAUUUGCCAAAAACGUUUUCAUUGAUCAAGAACGAAAGUUAGAGGUUCGAAGGCGAUCAGAUACCGCCCUAGUUCUAACCAUAAACGAUGCCAGCUAGCGAUCCGCCGACGUUCCUCCGAUGACUCGGCGGGCAGCUUCCGGGAAACCAAAGCUUUUGGGUUCCGGGGGAAGUAUGGUUGCAAAGCUGAAACUUAAAGGAAUUGACGGAAGGGCACCACCAGGAGUGGAGCCUGCGGCUUAAUUUGACUCAACACGGGACACCUCACCAGGCCCGGACACCGGAAGGAUUGACAGAUUGAUAGCUCUUUCUUGAUUCGGUGGGUGGUGGUGCAUGGCCGUU
This 910-nucleotide ribosomal RNA is filed under the name Atheta vestita. Its description in RNAcentral is "SSU rRNA". It matches the Rfam family "Eukaryotic small subunit ribosomal RNA", at positions 453 to 1292 of the family's 1831-position model. The record is from RNAcentral. Lineage: Eukaryota; Metazoa; Arthropoda; Insecta; Coleoptera; Staphylinidae.